This 300-nucleotide ribosomal RNA is filed under the name uncultured Leucobacter sp. RNAcentral describes it as "bacterial SSU rRNA". It matches the Rfam family "Bacterial small subunit ribosomal RNA", at positions 496 to 795 of the family's 1533-position model. The record is from RNAcentral. Lineage: Bacteria; Bacillati; Actinomycetota; Actinomycetes; Micrococcales; Microbacteriaceae.
GCUAACUACGUGCCAGCAGCCGCGGUAAUACGUAGGGUGCAAGCGUUGUCCGGAAUUAUUGGGCGUAAAGAGCUCGUAGGCGGCUUGUCGCGUCUGCUGUGAAAUCCCGAGGCUUAACCUCGGGCCUGCAGUGGGUACGGGCAAGCUAGAGUGCGGUAGGGGAGAUUGGAAUUCCUGGUGUAGCGGUGGAAUGCGCAGAUAUCAGGAGGAACACCGAUGGCGAAGGCAGAUCUCUGGGCCGUAACUGACGCUGAGGAGCGAAAGCAUGGGGAGCGAACAGGAUUAGAUACCCUGGUAGUC